GUGGGUAUAGCUCAGUGGUAGAGCACAUGCUUAGCAUGCACGAGGUCUUGGGUUCAAUUCCCAGUAACUCCU
This 72-nucleotide transfer RNA is filed under the name Camelus bactrianus (Bactrian camel). It matches the Rfam family "tRNA". From Rfam's summary of the family: Transfer RNA (tRNA) molecules are approximately 80 nucleotides in length. Lineage: Eukaryota; Metazoa; Chordata; Mammalia; Artiodactyla; Camelidae. RNAcentral also lists the same sequence under 2 other names. The record is from Rfam by way of RNAcentral.